This 1506-nucleotide ribosomal RNA is filed under the name metagenome. Its description in RNAcentral is "bacterial SSU rRNA". It matches the Rfam family "Bacterial small subunit ribosomal RNA". The record is from RNAcentral.
AGAGUUUGAUGCUGGCUCAGGACGAACGCUGGCGGCGUGCCUAAUACAUGCAAGUAGAACGCUGAAGAGAGGAGCUUGCUCUUCUUGGAUGAGUUGCGAACGGGUGAGUAACGCGUAGGUAACCUGCCUUGUAGCGGGGGAUAACUAUUGGAAACGAUAGCUAAUACCGCAUAACAAUGGAUGACCCAUGUCAUUUAUUUGAAAGGGGCAAAUGCUCCACUACAAGAUGGACCUGCGUUGUAUUAGCUAGUAGGUGAGGUAACGGCUCAUCUAGGCGACGAUACAUAGCCGACCUGAGAGGGUGAUCGGCCACACUGGGACUGAGACACGGCCCAGACUCCUACGGGAGGCAGCAGUAGGGAAUCUUCGGCAAUGGGGGCAACCCUGACCGAGCAACGCCGCGUGAGUGAAGAAGGUUUUCGGAUCGUAAAGCUCUGUUGUAGGUCAAGAACGAGUGUGAGAGUGGAAAGUUCACACUGUGACGGUAGCUUACCAGAAAGGGACGGCUAACUACGUGCCAGCAGCCGCGGUAAUACGUAGGUCCCGAGCGUUGUCCGGAUUUAUUGGGCGUAAAGCGAGCGCAGGCGGUUUGAUAAGUCUGAAGUUAAAGGCCGUGGCUCAACCAUAGUUCGCUUUGGAAACUGUCAAACUUGAGUGCAGAAGGGGAGAGUGGAAUUCCAUGUGUAGCGGUGAAAUGCGUAGAUAUAUGGAGGAACACCGGUGGCGAAAGCGGCUCUCUGGUCUGUAACUGACGCUGAGGCUCGAAAGCGUGGGGAGCGAACAGGAUUAGAUACCCUGGUAGUCCACGCCGUAAACGAUGAGUGCUAGGUGUUGGAUCCUUUCCGGGAUUCAGUGCCGCAGCUAACGCAUUAAGCACUCCGCCUGGGGAGCACGACCGCAAGGUUGAAACUCAAAGGAAUUGACGGGGGCCCGCACAAGCGGUGGAGCAUGUGGUUUAAUUCGAAGCAACGCGAAGAACCUUACCAGGUCUUGACAUCCCGAUGCUAUUUCUAGAGAUAGAAAGUUACUUCGGUACAUCGGUGACAGGUGGUGCAUGGUUGUCGUCAGCUCGUGUCGUGAGAUGUUGGGUUAAGUCCCGCAACGAGCGCAACCCCUAUUGUUAGUUGCCAUCAUUCAGUUGGGCACUCUAGCGAGACUGCCGGUAAUAAACCGGAGGAAGGUGGGGAUGACGUCAAAUCAUCAUGCCCCUUAUGACCUGGGCUACACACGUGCUACAAUGGUUGGUACAACGAGUUGCGAGUCGGUGACGGCAAGCUAAUCUCUUAAAGCCAAUCUCAGUUCGGAUUGUAGGCUGCAACUCGCCUACAUGAAGUCGGAAUCGCUAGUAAUCGCGGAUCAGCACGCCGCGGUGAAUACGUUCCCGGGCCUUGUACACACCGCCCGUCACACCACGAGAGUUUGUAACACCCGAAGUCGGUGAGGUAACCUUUUGGAGCCAGCCGCCUAAGGUGGGAUAGAUGAUUGGGGUGAAGUCGUAACAAGGUA